UACGAAGGGGGCUAGCGUUGUUCGGAUUUACUGGGCGUAAAGCGCACGUAGGCGGAUCGUUAAGUCGGGGGUGAAAUCCUGGAGCUCAACUCCAGAACUGCCUUCGAUACUGGCGAUCUUGAGUCCGGAAGAGGUGAGUGGAACCCCUAGUGUAGAGGUGGAAUUCGUAGAUAUUAGGAAGAACACCAGUGGCGAAGGCGGCGACCUGGACGGACAUUGACGCUGAGACGCGAAAGCGUGGGGAGCAAACAGG
Molecule: ribosomal RNA, 253 nt
Filed under: uncultured bacterium
Lineage: Bacteria
Description: partial 16S ribosomal RNA
Rfam family: Bacterial small subunit ribosomal RNA
Source: RNAcentral